GUACCCUCAAGCUUUGCUUGGUGUUGGGUGUUUGUCCUUUUCUUUGCAAUUGGACUCGCCCUAAAUUCAUUGGCAGCUACAGUAGUAGUGGAAAGCGCAGCACAAUUUGCGCCUUUUGCUGGUAUUAUGGGCGUCCAUUAAGCACAAUUAACAC
This 154-nucleotide unclassified non-coding RNA is filed under the name Nodulosphaeria scabiosae. RNAcentral describes it as "partial internal transcribed spacer 2". The record is from RNAcentral. Lineage: Eukaryota; Fungi; Ascomycota; Dothideomycetes; Pleosporales; Phaeosphaeriaceae.